GGGGGAUUAGCUCAGGGGUUAGAGUGUUCGCUUUGCAUGCGAAAUGUCGGGGGUUCAAAUCCCCCAUCCUCCA
This is a transfer RNA of Ectocarpus siliculosus, 73 nucleotides long. It matches the Rfam family "tRNA". From Rfam's summary of the family: Transfer RNA (tRNA) molecules are approximately 80 nucleotides in length. The record is from Rfam. NCBI's taxonomy places the organism in Eukaryota, Phaeophyceae, Ectocarpales, Ectocarpaceae.